Molecule: ribosomal RNA, 347 nt
Filed under: uncultured bacterium
Lineage: Bacteria
Description: partial 16S ribosomal RNA
Rfam family: Bacterial small subunit ribosomal RNA
Source: RNAcentral
CCUACGUGUGGCAGCAGUGAGGAAUAUUGGUCAAUGGGCGCGAGCCUGAACCAGCCAAGUAGCGUGAAGGAUGACUGCCCUACGGGUUGUAAACUUCUUUUAUAAAGGAAUAAAGUGAGGCAAGUGUGCCAUUUUGGAUGUACUUUAUGAAUAAGGAUCGGCUAACUCCGUGCCAGCCGCCGCGGUAAUACGGAGGUUCCGAGUGUUAGCCGGAUUUAGUUGGUUUAAAGAGAGCGUAGAUGGGUUGUUAAGUCAGUUGUGAAAGUGUGAGGCUCACCCGUAAAAUUGCAAUUGAUACUGGCAGUCUUGAGUACAGUUGAGUUAGGCGCAAUUCGUGGUGUAGCGGU